GAUGAACGCUGGCGGCGUGCCUAAUACAUGCAAGUAGAACGCUGAAGGAAGGAGCUUGCUCUUUCCGGAUGAGUUGCGAACGGGUGAGUAACGCGUAGGUAACCUGCCUGGUAGCGGGGGAUAACUAUUGGAAACGAUAGCUAAUACCGCAUAACAGUAGAUGUUGCAUGAUAUCUACUUAAAAGGUGCAAUUGCACCACUACCAGAUGGACCUGCGUUGUAUUAGCUAGUUGGUGAGGUAACGGCUCACCAAGGCGACGAUACAUAGCCGACCUGAGAGGGUGAUCGGCCACACUGGGACUGAGACACGGCCCAGACUCCUACGGGAGGCGGCAGUAGGGAAUCUUCGGCAAUAGACGGAAGUCUGACCGAGCAACGCCGCGUGAGUGAAGAAGGUUUUCGGAUCGUAAAGCUCUGUUGUAAGAGAAGAACGAGUGUGAGAGUGGAAAGUUCACACUGUGACGGUAUCUUACCAGAAAGGGACGGCUAACUACGUG
RNAcentral lists this ribosomal RNA (497 nucleotides) under uncultured bacterium. RNAcentral's name for it is "partial 16S ribosomal RNA". It matches the Rfam family "Bacterial small subunit ribosomal RNA", at positions 28 to 507 of the family's 1533-position model. The record is from RNAcentral.